Molecule: non-coding RNA, 136 nt
Organism: Hordeum vulgare subsp. vulgare (domesticated barley)
Lineage: Eukaryota; Viridiplantae; Streptophyta; Magnoliopsida; Poales; Poaceae
Source: Rfam
UAAGUACUCCUUUCAUCUUAGAAUUCUUGUCUUAAAUUUGUAUAGAAAUGAAUGUAUCCAAGUACUAAAACAUGACUAGAUACAUUCAUAUCUAGACAAAUCAAAGAUAAGAAUUUUAAGACGGAGAGAAUAUAUC